UAGUUGUCGGUAGCCGAGCGCCAGUGGGGCUCCUCCAGCACCUCGAAGAUCGCCGCCCCAAUGGACAGGUUCAGCGGAAUUCCUCGUUUUCGACGCCGGGAGGCUGUGAAACGAGGUCUGUGGCUUUCCUGGAUGCAUGGAAGCGUGGAGAGAAGCUGAGCAGGAGCUUUGAGGAGGAAAUACGUCCGUCCGCAGAUUGCACCCCUUCCCUGAGACAUCUGUAAUGCCUCACACGUGGGCAUUAUAGAUGUCCAUUUCUUUCCUGCUUUUGGUACCCUCAAUAAAUAACGCUAUGUCCC
This is a non-coding RNA of Lonchura striata (white-rumped munia), 299 nucleotides long. NCBI's taxonomy places the organism in Eukaryota, Metazoa, Chordata, Aves, Passeriformes, Estrildidae. The record is from RefSeq and is a predicted model, not a curated record.